AUAUCUCCCGCAUCAUUCACA
This 21-nucleotide microRNA is filed under the name Corchorus capsularis. Its description in RNAcentral is "sRNA CCACVL1_21015". The record is from RNAcentral. Lineage: Eukaryota; Viridiplantae; Streptophyta; Magnoliopsida; Malvales; Malvaceae.